This 497-nucleotide ribosomal RNA is filed under the name uncultured bacterium. RNAcentral's name for it is "partial 16S ribosomal RNA". It matches the Rfam family "Bacterial small subunit ribosomal RNA", at positions 28 to 507 of the family's 1533-position model. The record is from RNAcentral.
GAUGAACGCUGGCGGCGUGCCUAAUACAUGCAAGUCGAGCGAACGGACGAGAAGCUUGCUUCACUGGUGUUAGCGGAGGACGGGUGAGUAACACGUGGAUAACCUACCUAUAAGACUGGGAUAACUUCGGGAAACCGGAGCUAAUACCGGAUAAUAUUUUGAACCGCAUGGUUCAAAAGUGAAAGACGGUCUUGCUGUCACUUAUAGAUGGAUCCGCGCUGCAUUAGCUAGUUGGUAAGGUAACGGCUUACCAAGGCAACGAUGCAUAGCCGACCUGAGAGGGUGAUCGGCCACACUGGAACUGAGACACGGUCCAGACUCCUACGGGAGGCAGCAGUAGGGAAUCUUCCGCAAUGGGCGAAAGCCUGACGGAGCAACGCCGCGUGAGUGAUGAAGGUCUUCGGAUCGUAAAACUCUGUUAUUAGGGAAGAACAUAUGUGUAAGUAACUGUGCACAUCUUGACGGUACCUAAUCAGAAAGCCACGGCUAACUACGUG